This 497-nucleotide ribosomal RNA is filed under the name uncultured bacterium. RNAcentral describes it as "partial 16S ribosomal RNA". It matches the Rfam family "Bacterial small subunit ribosomal RNA", at positions 28 to 507 of the family's 1533-position model. The record is from RNAcentral.
GAUGAACGCUGGCGGCGUGCCUAAUACAUGCAAGUCGAGCGAACGGACGAGAAGCUUGCUUCUCUGAUGUUAGCGGCGGACGGGUGAGUAACACGUGGAUAACCUACCUAUAAGACUGGGAUAACUUCGGGAAACCGGGGCUAAUACCGGAUAAUAUUUUGAACCGCAUGGUUCAAAGGUGAAAGACGGUCUUGCUGUCACUUAUAGAUGGAUCCGCGCUGCAUUAGCUAGUUGGUAAGGUAACGGCUUACCAAGGCAACGAUGCAUAGCCGACCUGAGAGGGUGAUCGGCCACACUGGAACUGAGACACGGUCCAGACUCCUACGGGAGGCAGCAGUAGGGAAUCUUCCGCAAUGGGCGAAAGCCUGACGGAGCAACGCCGCGUGAGUGAUGAAGGUCUUCGGAUCGUAAAACUCUGUUAUUAGGGAAGAACAUAUGUGUAAGUAACUGUGCACAUCUUGACGGUACCUAAUCAGAAAGCCACGGCUAACUACGUG